This 497-nucleotide ribosomal RNA is filed under the name uncultured bacterium. RNAcentral's name for it is "partial 16S ribosomal RNA". It matches the Rfam family "Bacterial small subunit ribosomal RNA", at positions 28 to 507 of the family's 1533-position model. The record is from RNAcentral.
GAUGAACGCUGGCGGCGUGCCUAAUACAUGCAAGUCGAGCGAACGGACGAGAAGCUUUCUUCUCUGAUGUUAGCGGCGCACGGGUGAGUAACACGUGGAUAACCUACCUAUAAGACUGGGAUAACUUCGUGAAACCGGUGCUAAUACCCGAUGAUAUUUUGAACCGCAUGGUUCAAAAGUUAAAGACGUUCUUGCUGUCACUUAUAGAUGGAUCCGCGCUGCAUUAGCUAGUUGGUAAGGUAACGGCUUACCAAGGCAACGAUGCAUAGCCGAUCUGAGAGGGUGAUCGGCCACACUGGAACUGAGACACGGUCCAGACUCCUACGGGAGGCAGCAGUAGGGAAUCUUGCGCAAUGGGCGAAAGCCUGACGGAGCAACGCCGCGUGAGUGAUGAAGGUCUUCGGAUCGUAAAACUCUGUUAUUGGGGAAGAACAUAUGUGUAAGUAAAUGUGCACAUCUUGACGGUACCUAAUCAGAAAGCCACGGCUAACUACGUG